CUCCAACUGGUGGGACAACCAGAGCAACCAGGUUGCCUCUGGUCGUGGUAAUCGUGGAUUCAUUGUCUUCAACAAUGAUGACUGGAACCUGGAUGUGACCCUGAACACUGGCAUGCCCGGUGGCACCUACUGCGACGUCAUUUCUGGCCAGAAAGAAGGAAGCAGGUGCACUGGUAAGCAGAUCCAUGUCGGAGGUGAUGGCCGCGCCCACUUCAAGAUCAGCAACAGAGAUGAGGACCCCUUUGUUGCUAUUCAUGCUGAGUCCAAGCUGUAAAAACAUCAUGUACAACUUCAACAAUAAAUCUUAUGUUCAGACUUGAAUGAUGAA
This is a non-coding RNA of Epinephelus lanceolatus (giant grouper), 328 nucleotides long. NCBI's taxonomy places the organism in Eukaryota, Metazoa, Chordata, Actinopteri, Perciformes, Serranidae. The record is from RefSeq and is a predicted model, not a curated record.